AGAGUUUGAUCCUGGCUCAGGAUGAACGCUGGCGGCAUGCCUAAUACAUGCAAGUCGAACGAGAGGAAGGAAAGCUUGCUUUUCUAAAUCUAGUGGCGAACGGGUGAGUAACACGUAGGUAACCUGCCCAUGUGCCCGGGAUAACUUCUGGAAACGGAUGCUAAAACCGGAUAGGUAGCAGACAAGCAUUUGACUGCUAUUAAAGUGGCUAAGGCCAUGAACAUGGAUGGACCUGCGGAGCAUUAGCUAGUUGGUGAGGUAACGGCCCACCAAGGCGACGAUGCAUAGCCGGCCUGAGAGGGCGGACGGCCACAUUGGGACUGAGACACGGCCCAAACUCCUACGGGAGGCAGCAGUAGGGAAUUUUCGUCAAUGGGGGGAACCCUGAACGAGCAAUGCCGCGUGAGUGAGGAAGGUCUUCGGAUCGUAAAGCUCUGUUGUAAGAGAAAAACGGCACUCAUAGGGAAUGAUGAGUGAGUGAUGGUAUCUUACCAGAAAGUCACGGCUAACUACGUGCCAGCAGCCGCGGUAAUACGUAGGUGGCGAGCGUUAUCCGGAAUGAUUGGGCGUAAAGGGUGCGUAGGUGGCAGAUCAAGUCUGGAGUAAAAGGUAUGGGCUCAACCCGUACUUGCUCUGGAAACUGAUCAGCUAGAGAACAGAAGAGGACGGCGGAACUCCAUGUGUAGCGGUG
This 691-nucleotide ribosomal RNA is filed under the name uncultured bacterium. RNAcentral's name for it is "bacterial SSU rRNA". It matches the Rfam family "Bacterial small subunit ribosomal RNA", at positions 8 to 683 of the family's 1533-position model. The record is from RNAcentral.